GACGAACGCUGGCGGCGUGCUUAACACAUGCAAGUCGAACGGAAAGGCCCUGCUUUUGUGGGGUGCUCGAGUGGCGAACGGGUGAGUAACACGUGAGUAACCUGCCCUUGACUUUGGGAUAACUUCAGGAAACUGUGGCUAAUACCGGAUAGGAGCUCCUGCUGCAUGGUGGGGGUUGGAAAGUUUCGGCGGUUGGGGAUGGACUCGCGGCUUAUCAGCUUGUUGGUGGGGUAGUGGCUUACCAAGGCUUUGACGGGUAGCCGGCCUGAGAGGGUGACCGGACACAUUGGGACUGAGAUACGGCCCAGACUCCUACGGGAGGCAGCAGUGGGGAAUAUUGCACAAUGGGCGGAAGCCUGAUGCAGCAACGCCGCGUGCGGGAUGACGGCCUUCGGGUUGUAAACCGCUUUCGCCUGUGACGAAGCGUGAGUGACGGUAAUGGGUAAAGAAGCACCGGCUAACUACGUG
RNAcentral lists this ribosomal RNA (468 nucleotides) under uncultured bacterium. RNAcentral's name for it is "partial 16S ribosomal RNA". It matches the Rfam family "Bacterial small subunit ribosomal RNA", at positions 28 to 507 of the family's 1533-position model. The record is from RNAcentral.